AAAUUGAUUAUCAAGCGUCUCUUGCUCUCUCCCAAGUCCCAAACCUUGAAACCCUGCAAAUUUUUUCUUUAAAUUGGUUUCAAUGGUUACUCAAUUCUUCAGUUCAUUCUCAUCCAUCACCCAAUCUUUCUCCUCUCUAUGUUUCUGUUAUCCUACGGUGAUCAUACGAAUUUUUCAGCUUUCGAUCGAUGUAGGCUGAGGUACAAAUCAAAAUAGGACCUGCCCUGCUGAUGAGCACUCGUUCUGCAACAGCCAAAGCAUCGGAUCCAGUAUGCUUAGACGAUUGAAGUGACGCUCAUCUAAUGACUAAUGGUCAAGAAAUUCUGUCCGAACGACUUGAAUCCAAUUUACAAGUUUUCAUUUUAUUUUCUCCAUGGACUUCUUGAUGAUGAAUUAUUCUGGCAAUUGGCAAUUGAGUAA
Molecule: long non-coding RNA, 420 nt
Filed under: Rosa chinensis
Lineage: Eukaryota; Viridiplantae; Streptophyta; Magnoliopsida; Rosales; Rosaceae
Description: sRNA RchiOBHm_Chr4g0392701
Source: RNAcentral